UGUGAUGAUAUCUUUAUUUUACUACUACACCAAGAUCGCAGAAGAUUCGUGUUGAAACAAUUAUCUGA
Molecule: small nucleolar RNA, 68 nt
Filed under: Drosophila grimshawi
Lineage: Eukaryota; Metazoa; Arthropoda; Insecta; Diptera; Drosophilidae
Description: snoRNA:GH25843
Source: RNAcentral